RNAcentral lists this ribosomal RNA (253 nucleotides) under uncultured bacterium. RNAcentral's name for it is "partial 16S ribosomal RNA". It matches the Rfam family "Bacterial small subunit ribosomal RNA", at positions 524 to 776 of the family's 1533-position model. The record is from RNAcentral.
AACGUAGGAGACAAACGUUAUCCGGAGUUACUGGGCGUAAAGGGCGUGCAGGCGGUUUCUUAAGUUCGUCGUGAAAUCGCCCGGCUUAACCGGGCGGGGUCGAUGGAUACUGGGAGACUUGAGGGCGGUAGAGGCGUGUGGAAUUCCGGGUGUAGUGGUGAAAUGCGUAGAUAUCGGGAGGAACGCCAGUGGCGAAGGCGACUUUCUGGUCUGUAACUGACACUGAGGCGCGAAAGCGUGGGGAGCAAACAGG